Molecule: ribosomal RNA, 301 nt
Filed under: uncultured bacterium
Lineage: Bacteria
Description: partial 16S ribosomal RNA
Rfam family: Bacterial small subunit ribosomal RNA
Source: RNAcentral
CAGUAGCCGCGGUAAAACGGAGGAUCCAAGCGUUAUCCGGAAUCAUUGGGUUUAAAGGGUCCGUAGGCGGUCUUGUAAGUCAGUGGUGAAAGCCCAUCGCUCAACGGUGGAACGGCCAUUGAUACUGCAGGACUUGAAUUAUUGGGAAGUAACUAGAAUAUGUAGUGUAGCGGUGAAAUGCUUAGAGAUUACAUGGAAUACCAAUUGCGAAGGCAGGUUACUACCAAUUGAUUGACGCUGAUGGACGAAAGCGUGGGUAGCAAACAGGAUUAGAUACCCGUGUAGUCCCUGUCUCUUAUAC